CGGGUAAGUCUUGUACGAUCUGCUCCCUUCUAACUCCCCCAGGGUAGGAAUACAGCAAGGGUACGUCGGUUGUAGCGAUGCGAUACAAGUAGCUUACCCU
RNAcentral lists this signal recognition particle RNA (100 nucleotides) under bovine gut metagenome. Its description in RNAcentral is "Bacteroidales small SRP". It matches the Rfam family "Bacteroidales small SRP", at positions 8 to 103 of the family's 107-position model. From Rfam's summary of the family: The non-coding component of the signal recognition particle in Bacteroides The record is from RNAcentral. RNAcentral also lists the same sequence under 1 other name.